Sebastes umbrosus (honeycomb rockfish) is the source of this 175-nucleotide long non-coding RNA. RefSeq lists it as uncharacterized. Lineage: Eukaryota; Metazoa; Chordata; Actinopteri; Perciformes; Sebastidae. The transcript is spliced from 3 exons. The record is from RefSeq and is a predicted model, not a curated record.
AGCCUGAAAACAGAGCCAUGAGGAGGUGCAGAAGUCUAGUUAUCUCUCAGAACACUUGAAUUACAAUAUGCUGAAAGGUUAUUAUGGAAUUGUUGCCCAAUGAUGCCAAAAACACUCUGCCUACUGAGGCUUUAAGCAUGUUUGUGUUUUUAAAACAAAAAAAAUAAUUAGUAUC